AUACUUCUUAUCCUGAAUAUGUCACAAUACAAAUAGAAGAUGAUGAUACUUCUUAUCCUGAAUAUGUCACAAUACAAAUAGAAGAUGAUGAUGAUGAUAAGAGUGGACAAUAUAAGAGGACUUCUGAUCUUGAAUCAGUGAUAGUUCAAACAGAAAAAGAAGAAAAUGAUGAUUAUGACGAUGAA
This is a long non-coding RNA of Xenopus laevis (African clawed frog), 185 nucleotides long. RefSeq lists it as uncharacterized. The record is from RefSeq and is a predicted model, not a curated record. The transcript is spliced from 2 exons. NCBI's taxonomy places the organism in Eukaryota, Metazoa, Chordata, Amphibia, Anura, Pipidae.